This 254-nucleotide ribosomal RNA is filed under the name uncultured bacterium. RNAcentral describes it as "partial 16S ribosomal RNA". It matches the Rfam family "Bacterial small subunit ribosomal RNA", at positions 524 to 776 of the family's 1533-position model. The record is from RNAcentral.
UACGGGGGGAGCUAGCGUUGUUCGGAUUUACUGGGCGUAAAGGGCGCGUAGGCGGUCGUGACAAGUCACUUGUGAAAUCUCCGGGCUUAACUCGGAAAGGUCAAGUGAUACUGUCGGACUAGAGUACAGAAGGGGCAACUGGAAUUCUCGGUGUAGCGGUGAAAUGCGUAGAUAUCGAGAGGAACACCUGCGGCGAAGGCGGGUUGCUGGGCUGAUACUGACGCUGAGGCGCGAAAGCUAGGGGAGCGAACGGG